AUGGAGCGGCGAGGAGGAGCGGCGGCGCCGUCGCUGGAGCUGCCGGGGUUCCGCUUCCACCCCACGGAGGAGGAGCUGCUGGAGUUCUACCUCAAGCACCAUGUCACCCGAAACAACAAGCAGCAGCACCUCAAGGCGGCGCCGUUCGACAUCAUCCCCACGGUGCACCUGUACCGGCACGACCCCUGGGACCUCCCGGGGCUCGCCGCCAUCGCCAGCGAGCGCGAGUGGUACUUCUUCGUGCCCCGCGACGGCGCCCGGAAGCACGCGUCCGGCGUUGCCGGCGGCGGGCGCCCCAGCCGCACCACGGAGCGCGGGUUCUGGAAGGCCACGGGGUCCGACCGCGCCGUGCGGUGCGCCGCCGACCCCAAGCGCCUCGUCGGCCUCAAGAAGACGCUCGUCUACUACCAGGGCCGCGCGCCCCGGGGCACCAAGACGGACUGGGUCAUGAACGAGUACCGCCUGCCCGACCUCUCCGGCGCCGGCGCCGGCGAGCAGCAGGACGUGGUGCUCUGCAAGGUGUACCGCAAGGCCGUGUCGCUCAAGGAGCUGGAGCAGCGGGUCGCCAUGGAGGAGCUCGCGCGCGCGCGGUCCUCCCCGCCCACCACGGCCUCCCACUCCCACUCCCACUCCCACUGCAGCGCUGGCUCGCCCGACGUCUCGUCCGCGUCCGAGCUCGCCCACGAGGCCGCCCUCCACCAUGUCCACCACGGGGUGAAGAAGGAGGAGGCCGUGGCGGUGGCGAGGCCGCCGGCCAUGCGGCUGCCGCAGCUGGAGACCGCGAAGGCCAACGGCGGGCUGGAGUGGAUGCAGGACCCGUUCCUGACGCAGCUGAGGAGCCCAUGGAUGGAGGGCCUCUGCUUGUCUCCCUACUACGCCAGCGUCCUCAACUUCUAG
Molecule: ribosomal RNA, 897 nt
Filed under: Triticum aestivum (bread wheat)
Lineage: Eukaryota; Viridiplantae; Streptophyta; Magnoliopsida; Poales; Poaceae
Description: partial small subunit ribosomal RNA
Source: RNAcentral